Molecule: ribosomal RNA, 450 nt
Filed under: uncultured bacterium
Lineage: Bacteria
Description: partial 16S ribosomal RNA
Rfam family: Bacterial small subunit ribosomal RNA
Source: RNAcentral
GUGGGGAAUAUUGGACAAUGGGCGAAAGCCUGAUCCAGCCAUGCCGCGUGUGUGAAGAAGGUCUUCGGAUUGUAAAGCACUUUAAGUUGGGAGGAAGGGCAUUAACCUAAUACGUUAGUGUUUUGACGUUACCGACAGAAUAAGCACCGGCUAACUUCGUGCCAGCAGCCGCGGUAAUACGAAGGGUGCAAGCGUUAAUCGGAAUUACUGGGCGUAAAGCGCGCGUAGGUGGUUCGUUAAGUUGGAUGUGAAAGCCCCGGGCUCAACCUGGGAACUGCAUCCAAAACUGGCGAGCUAGAGUACGGUAGAGGGUGGUGGAAUUUCCUGUGUAGCGGUGAAAUGCGUAGAUAUAGGAAGGAACACCAGUGGCGAAGGCGACCACCUGGACUGAUACUGACACUGAGGUGCGAAAGCGUGGGGAGCAAACAGGAUUAGAAACCCUGGUAGUCC